RNAcentral lists this long non-coding RNA (847 nucleotides) under Homo sapiens (human). RNAcentral describes it as "HSALNT0335842". The record is from RNAcentral. Lineage: Eukaryota; Metazoa; Chordata; Mammalia; Primates; Hominidae.
AGCGGGUCCCAGCUGACGGAAGGUGGGGGAGGAGUGCGAGGGUCUCUGAGACAGGUUGGGAGCCAGCCCCACCUCCAUUUCCAAAGCGGGGGUCCAGGCACAGGAACAGCCAAACGCCCGAACCAGCGGGGUUACCUUUGCCACUUCAUCCAAUCCGAGCAUCGGCUGGAAACUGGGAAGUUUGUCAGACAAAGCUCUUCAGGUUACUGGCAAUUUAUGUGCUGGGAGGUGGAUUUGUGGGCAGAGCUCCGGCUGACCUGGUGUUGUCCUGCUAUGGCUACAGACUUCUGACUAUGCUUAUCAGAAAAACUUUCAUUUGGUUCAAGGAUUUUUGCUGACAAGUUUAUUUAAUCCCUGAACCUGGAUCCAAGGCAUCUCCCUGUAGAAAACAUCAGACCGGGGCAGAGAUUGACAAAGCAACCCAAAGCAGCAGCUGCCAACGGCCGCUGUGCCCACCUCAUCAGCAGCUAAAGAGUAUAAUUUUAAAAAAAGUCACAGAAGAAUGUGGAGACACUUAGCAAAACGGACUCUCAUAAGGAGGCUGAUGGACUACAUCCAUGGGGUACUUUGUCCUCUGGCUUCCAAUUAGAUUCAGACAACAGGAAGCAUCAACAGCUAAUGGGAGACGAAGAGGAAAAAUUGGGGUACCUAUUCCCCUAGAUUACUCCCUGCUGAUUGCUGCAGAGGGGCUUCAUCCUUGCCCUGGUUUCUGGAAAACACUCUUUCAUUGCCCAUGCAGGCCUAGGAGUGAUGAUGCCUCACUGGAUGGCAAAGUCUCUUAUUGGUUUCCCUAAAUCUUACUCACAACUUGUAGAUACUCCCUCUAUUAAAUCCUUUUCAGUUACCC